Non-coding RNA from Gemmatimonadetes bacterium GWC2_71_9, 73 nucleotides. The record is from Rfam. NCBI's taxonomy places the organism in Bacteria, Pseudomonadati, Gemmatimonadota.
GCGCCGGUAGCUCAAUUGGCAGAGCAACUGACUCUUAAUCAGUAGGUUCUAGGUUCGAUUCCUAGCCGGCGCA